UUUAAAUUUAAUAUGUUUUGGUCACAACAUCACAUAAUUUUUUGUCACAAUUGCUCAAUUAUAAGUCACAACUUAUUCGUUGGCCACAAAUUUUCAAAUUAAUUGGUGAAAAUUUAUUUUGUGAUCAUAAAUUAUAUAAUUUUUACGUCACAAUUAAAUGGUUCACUCAUUAUUUUCCGAUCACAAAUCACGAAUUUUAUAAAUCACAACUCAUUCAUCCAUCACAGAUUUUAAUUUUCUGGUCACAAAUUAAAAUAAUUUUUAGGCCACAAUUAAAUUGUUGGUCACAACUAACCAAACAUCAAGUCACAAAUUAAUCUCAUCCCACGCCCCCACCACUACCACCACACUAACACCAAAACCACCGAUAUCCCUCGCCACAGCCACCAAUACAACACUCAAACAAGUCACCGCCACCGCACAAAAACCAGAUUCGCCACCACAGCCACCACCGCAACACCUCAAACAAAUCACUGCCAACACACAAGCAUCAGAUUCGUCAACAUCCACCACACAAACACCAUCUCCACCACCAUCCCAAAUUGACGACCACCUCACCAUGGAAACACCGCCACAUCACAGAAAUAUACCACCACAUCUCAAAACCACCAGAUCCGCCGAGAGCUACCUCACCAGGAAGAGACCGCCAUCGGUAGAGAGUGACAGAUCCACAGCCAUCUCCACAGGCCCUGACUACAUCAACUGGCGGAGAUCCACAACCCUUGACUACAUCACCACCCCCCGCAAAUAGAACACACCAACAUCCCCACAGAUUCACUACAUCACCACGUGCGACUGUGAGGCGAUCUAAGAACAAAGUCAGGUUGCUGCAGCGGCGACGGCAGCGACACCUGAGCAGAGAGACGGUGGUGAAGAGAGAGGAGAGGAGAGGAGAGGGCGGCGGACGGUGGUAUGGAGAGGAGAGGAGAUGAGAGAGAGAUCAAUUUAGGGCUUGAAUGGAUAGAUAGGGUGGGGUGUAUGUAUAUUAGAUUAAUUUAUAGUAUUAUUAUUAAAAAUAUUCAUUUAUGAUAUUUAAAUUAAGAUCUGAAUUUUG
RNAcentral lists this long non-coding RNA (1054 nucleotides) under Olea europaea subsp. europaea. Lineage: Eukaryota; Viridiplantae; Streptophyta; Magnoliopsida; Lamiales; Oleaceae. The record is from RNAcentral.